Molecule: ribosomal RNA, 745 nt
Filed under: uncultured Petrotoga sp.
Lineage: Bacteria; Thermotogati; Thermotogota; Thermotogae; Petrotogales; Petrotogaceae
Description: bacterial SSU rRNA
Rfam family: Bacterial small subunit ribosomal RNA
Source: RNAcentral
ACAGAGAUAGCUACUGGAAACGGUAGGUAAACUCUGAUAAGCCCGAGAGGGGAAAGUGGAAGGCAGCCUUGGGAUGGACCUACUAUCCAUCAGGUAGUUGGUGAGGUAAAGGCUUACCAAGCCGAUGACGGAUAACCGGUGUGAGAGCAUGUACGGUCACAAGGGCACUGAGACACGGGCCCUACUCCUACGGGAGGCAGCAGUGGGGAAUAUUGGACAAUGGGCGAAAGCCUGAUCCAGCGACGCCGCGUGAAGGAAGAAGUCCUUCGGGAUGUAAACUUCUGAACUAAUCGAAUAAAAAGGGUAGUGGACACACUACAGAAGAAGUAGAUUAGGAAAAGUCCCGGCUAACUACGUGCCAGCAGCCGCGGUAAGACGUAGGGGGCGAGCGUUGCCCCGGAAUCACUGGGUGUAAAGGGGACGUAGGCGGAUGAUCAAGUCAUCUGUGAAAAGAUUGCUCAAACGAUUGGCUUGCGGAUGAAACUGGUCAUCUUGGGCGUAGCAGAGGUAGACGGAAUUACCUGAGUAGGGGUGAAAUCCGCAGAUACAGGUAAGAAGGCCGGUGAAGAAGUUGGUCUACUGGGCUACAGCUGACGCUGAGGUCCGAAAGCCAGGGGAGCGAACCGGAUUAGAUACCCGGGUAGUCCUGGCUGGUAAACGAUGCUCACUAGGUGUAGGGAGCGAAAGACUCUCUGUGCUGAAGCGAACGCGCUAAGUGAGCCACCUGGGGAGUACGUCCGCAAGG